Nerophis ophidion (straightnose pipefish) is the source of this 678-nucleotide long non-coding RNA. RefSeq lists it as uncharacterized. The record is from RefSeq and is a predicted model, not a curated record. NCBI's taxonomy places the organism in Eukaryota, Metazoa, Chordata, Actinopteri, Syngnathiformes, Syngnathidae. The transcript is spliced from 2 exons.
AGGAUGAAACUUCCUGAUGCAACCCUGGCCAGGAAUCGAACCCAUGCGAGGCAGAUGCGUGUCCCGUUACCAGAGGUCACUUGCCCUUCCUCCUGUUUCACUGGUCUGAUGUCUCUCCUGAUUGCCUGAUUGUGCCCACCUGUGUCACCCUCGCUCAUGUGUAUAAAUGUCUGGUCUUCCUCUUGUCUUGUGCCAGAGUAUAUCGUCUCGCUACGUGCCUCCAGCCUUGUCCACGGCCUUGAACCAAGUUUUGCUAAGUAUUGCCUUGCCUUAUUUAUUGAUUUCUUUGUUUCCUCUGAGAAAGACUUAUUUUGUUUGUUAAAGUUUUUGGUCAAGAAUUUUGUGUCUAAUUUCAGUGCUUUGCCUUCUUUUUUCCCCCUCCUCUUGGAGCGCUUUAGUUUGUAGUUUUCUCAGCUUUUUAUAGCGCACUUUCUGUUAAGUUAUUUUCUCCUCUGCGUGAGUGAUUUACCUUUUUUUUUUAGCUAAUCAUAGAUUGUUGUUGUUUUGUUAGAAGAUUUGUGUGUAAUUUUGCUAUUGCCUUUUUCAUCCCUAUGGAGUGAUUUUCUGUUUAUUGCGUUUUGCCUAUGUCUUUAUCAUAGAUUCCAUAGCCGCUUUGCUUUAAUCACUCUGUUCAAAGAGAUUUCAAAGAAAACUUCAAUAAAGCCUGUGUCAAUUGUC